AUCACCGGGGUCUGACAGACGUUCCUUGUAACAGUCUCUCUCUUUCUCUCUCCACCCAGCGCUAAUCAGCCACACUCAUUACUGACGCUGAUUAAACUGCAAAUUAGCCAGCGGCGGCCCUCGCGCGCUUCGCUCAAUAUCAAUUAAGGCGAGCAGCUUGCGCGCGCUCUCGGGAAUGCCAUCCAAAUGCUUGAUCGUGUCACUUAUUAGUUUGGAAAACUAGGAAAAUACCAAUAAUCAACCGUCAAGGGAAUAAAAGAGACAAAAAUGUCUUCUGUAGCCGCCGUCAUUUGGCGUGUCAGCGAGUAAGAGAAUGCAUUAUCUUUGGCUUUUUAAAUUCACUAUUGGCUCUAAUGAAUCGCAUUAAGCCGUGUCGAAUCUGAAAUCCUACAUCAUUAGGUCGUUCCGGUUAGCAAUGAGAGUGAAACAUUUUUUUCCCCCCUUUCCAACCUCUUUAGCUUUGAAGUUAAUGACGAGUGAUUUUUAUUUAUUUAUUUAAUUAGAACGGAUUGCAGCGAUUCUGUCUCCCACAUCUCGUAGAUCUGAAGUGGCCAAGCGAUAAUAAAUAAAACAUAAAUGGCUCAAAAGGCACGCUAAUAUGCAAAUAAAGUGUAUACGCAGAACUCCCCAACCCCCCAACUAACAACCUUCAGGCCUAAGGUAGCCUCAUCUGGUAAUUCCUGCAGGAACGGUGCUCUGGAAUGGUGCUCAGUAUCAGCACAUCCUGCCACAGUGGAUGAAGAUGAAGACACCACUUCUGCUGUGACAGAGGUACAAAAUGAAGAUGCUGGGAGGACCACAGAGAUUAUGGCUGGGGAUUCCUGUACAGAGGAAGGUCCAUCUACAUCCACACAGAAUGUAAAAAUUGUUUGCAGUUGUCCUGAUUAAAAAUAUUUGGUCUGUGUAUUACAGAUUAUAUAUCAAUUAUAUUGAAUUAUCAUUCUGUCUUCCAAGCUGCCUGAAAAAGGAGCUGUAUAAGGUCCAUCUUCAAAUGCAAAUUAGAAAAGUUGAUCUGGAGCUGGACCUUCUACAACUACAAAUGGAGAAGAAAAAAAAAACGUGAACUUAAAAAGGCCAGUCUUGAAACUGAAUUGCUGAAGCACUGGUAUUUUUAAGCAAAUAUUAAGUAUUUACCUAGUGAUUAUUGUUGAAUGGUCAAGCAAUAAAUAGAAAUGUCUUUCAAUUAGAGGAAAUAAAGAAACAAUGAACCACACUUAACUGUUCACUUUGUGCAUUAGUCAUUUAAUUAGAAAUGAUGUUGGCAGAUCACAUUACACUCUGCAAUCUCUUUGGUUCACUCUUGCUAUCUUCAUAAAUGGUUCAUCAUGGUUUAUGGCCAGAGAACUUCACAACAUUGUGUAGACCAGCUCAUUGAUGGUUAGACCAAUUUUAAC
Ictalurus punctatus (channel catfish) is the source of this 1394-nucleotide long non-coding RNA. Lineage: Eukaryota; Metazoa; Chordata; Actinopteri; Siluriformes; Ictaluridae. The record is from Ensembl.